Molecule: long non-coding RNA, 874 nt
Filed under: Pogona vitticeps (central bearded dragon)
Lineage: Eukaryota; Metazoa; Chordata; Lepidosauria; Squamata; Agamidae
Description: lncRNA (ENSPVIG00000023662.1)
Source: RNAcentral
GUGGUGAAUAUGACAACUGAUUCAACCAAGAAGCACUGAAAAAGGUGCGCAGAAUUAAGAAACUUCCAUGGUCGUUUAUUCAUGACAAGACAUAUGCACAUAUAAAGCACCUUUUCAUAAGACAUGUCUUCAAGUGAUGACAAAAUGUAUCAAAAGCAGACCUAAGUUAGCUGUACUCCUCAUGAGAGCAAUGCUAUUCAUUCUUGCAAUAAAGAUCACAAGAGUUAGAGGGCAAUGCACAGGGUGCAGUAGAAGCAUCUGGGACAAUGCAGAAUCGGCUGCCAUCUGACUCAGAUGAGCCAACUGCAGACAGGAGUGCAGAACGCAUACUUGAACCACCAGCAAGGAGGGAAGUGCAGAGGCAGGAUGCAGCGAUGGACAUCUGCCCAGAUGUGGAGGUGGCAUCAAUGAGCCAUGACAUAGUCUUGCCUCAGGGGUCAGGGUGUGAAGACAAUGUUUCAUCACUGGCUUGCAGGAACAGAUGCAGUUCCUUCCAUAUUUGGCAUUUCAGUUCCCCAAUCCUUGACUGUUAAGCCAUGCUGGCUGAUCAUCUUCAAUGUGGAAGUCCAAAACAUGUGGAAGACCAACACUGGUGAACCACCAAAGCAGAAUACCCCAAACUUUCUACAGCUUUGGAAGGAAAAUCAAUAUUGGUACUGGAGGACAAGCAGCCUUUCGGGAAAGCUUUUCUGCUGUUGAUCCCAUUGAAAAGCUUCUGAUUAGCUCCUGAGGAGACCCUGUUGUUGUUUUUUAAAUUCUAUUCUAAACCUGUGCCCACCAACCAAUGUGAUUUUUUUAAAAGAAAGAAUGCAAUGCCCAUGCCAAAUAUUAGAUCAUGCAUUAAGCAAAAUAAAGGAAAAUGAGGGCUUGAACA